GACGAACGCUGGCGGCGUGCCUAAUACAUGCAAGUAGAACGCUUAAGAGAGGAGCUUGCUCUUCUUGGAUGAGUUGCGAACGGGUGAGUAACGCGUAGGUAACCUGCCUUGUAGCGGGGGAUAACUAUUGGAAACGAUAGCUAAUACCGCAUAACAAUGGAUGACACAUGUCAUUUAUUUGAAAGGGGCAAUUGCUCCACUACAAGAUGGACCUGCGUUGUAUUAGCUAGUAGGUGAGGUAAUGGCUCACCUAGGCGACGAUACAUAGCCGACCUGAGCGGGUGAUCGGCCACACUGGGACUGAGACACGGCCCAGACUCCUACGGGAGGCAGCAGUAGGGAAUCUUCGGCAAUGGGGGCAGCCCUGACCGAGCAACGCCGCGUGAGUGAAGAAGGUUUUCGGAUCGUAAAGCUCUGUUGUAAGUCAAGAACGGGUGUGAGAGUGGAAAGUUCACACUGUGACGGUAGCUUACCAGAAAGGGACGGCUAACUACGUG
This 497-nucleotide ribosomal RNA is filed under the name uncultured bacterium. Its description in RNAcentral is "partial 16S ribosomal RNA". It matches the Rfam family "Bacterial small subunit ribosomal RNA", at positions 28 to 507 of the family's 1533-position model. The record is from RNAcentral.